UACGGGGGGAGCAAGCGUUGUUCGGAUUUACUGGGCGUAAAGGGCGCGUAGGCGGCGCAACAAGUCACUUGUGAAAUCUCCGGGCUUAACCCGGAGCGGCCAAGUGAUACUGUCGUGCUAGAGUGCGGAAGGGGCUACUGGAAUUCUCGGUGUAGCGGUGAAAUGCGUAGAUAUCAGGAGGAACACCUAUUGCGAAGGCAGCUCGCUGGGACGUAACUGACGCUGAGACGCGAAAGCGUGGGGAGCAAACAGG
RNAcentral lists this ribosomal RNA (253 nucleotides) under uncultured bacterium. RNAcentral describes it as "partial 16S ribosomal RNA". It matches the Rfam family "Bacterial small subunit ribosomal RNA", at positions 524 to 776 of the family's 1533-position model. The record is from RNAcentral.